UUAACUAAAAUUUGUAUUGAGUUGAUCGUUUGCCUACGUUUGCCGCUAGAGGCGCUGUUCUAACUGCAUACAAAUUUCAGUUA
This 83-nucleotide microRNA precursor is filed under the name Bombyx mori (domestic silkworm). RNAcentral describes it as "mir-2807 microRNA precursor family". It matches the Rfam family "mir-2807 microRNA precursor family". Lineage: Eukaryota; Metazoa; Arthropoda; Insecta; Lepidoptera; Bombycidae. The record is from Rfam by way of RNAcentral.